This 395-nucleotide long non-coding RNA is filed under the name Monodelphis domestica (gray short-tailed opossum). RNAcentral describes it as "lncRNA (ENSMODG00000040596.1)". Lineage: Eukaryota; Metazoa; Chordata; Mammalia; Didelphimorphia; Didelphidae. The record is from RNAcentral.
UGUUGGCCUAACAUUCAGGCAUGCUUUGCAAAUAACUACUACUGAACAAGUACUUCAAUAUUCUACUUGGACCUGAAAUUUCAGCAACGUGAAUAUUUUCUCCAGCAAUUCAGAUUACUAAGUCUCUUUGCAGGUCUAUCCAGUGUAACUCUCCUCCACAUCUUUCUAGAAAUUCACCACCAAGGGUCCAUUCAUCAUACCUUCUUCAUAUUCUCUUCCCAUUUCACAGAUACUAAAAGAGCAUUUCGGAGCAUGAGGAAGAUCAGUUUCUUCAUAUGAAGGUGACAGAUCAAAAGACUGAUAAAAGCGCCUUGAGUUUCACAAGGAACAAUAUGCAGCUCUGACAAUGGGAGCCCUGCACAUAACCAAGGGGGGAAUUGGGCCCAGCGCAUCUA